This is a non-coding RNA of Podarcis lilfordi (Lilford's wall lizard), 3996 nucleotides long. The record is from the annotation of a GenBank genome assembly. NCBI's taxonomy places the organism in Eukaryota, Metazoa, Chordata, Lepidosauria, Squamata, Lacertidae.
UAUUACAAUAGUUAACAGCCAUGAAAGUUAAUGGGACCUCCAUAUCUAUUAUGCAGUCUUCUACCCUUAAUAGUAAAUGACGGGAUGGACAGAAGCUGAAUAGCACAAUUGUGUCGUGCUUGUCAGUUUCAAGACUAUAGGACACUGCUCAGAAGUAAGCCUCAAUGAGUUCAAUGCAACUUAUGUGCAUAGGAUUACAUAUUUCACACUGAGCACUUUGGCAAAAGGGCAAAAUAAUGUAAAAAGCAAACAAAUAGCGAAAUAAAUCCAUCAAGCUGAUUUUUAUAUCCCAUAUGGCACUGUCCUUACGACAGAUGACAUGGUAAACCAACUUUCACCAUGUUUUAAACAUGCAUAAUUAUGGAUCCAUUAACUUGUUAAUAGGUUACUGCCAAAAGAUAAAUUUAUUUUCUAUAUUCGGCAAAAACCUUUAUAUUCCCAAAUUAAAUUGUUAGAAGACAAAGUAUGCCUGAAACUUUUGUUUGUUUAUAAGAUGCGGGGAGUUAUCAAAUGACAAGCGAUGCAAUAUUCAGAUCUGAACAUGUUUAAGAUUACAGUUUACUGAAGUAAACAUGCUUAGCUAUUAAUAUUAAAUACAGGAGCCAGAUCUGCCAUACAUCUUAGUUACUUGAUUACACAGUCCCUCUCUCCCCUUUUUGACACACACACACACACACACACACACACACACAAACAAUAAACUGCCUACUUGAUUUAUACUGGCUCACAAGAGCCACGGUGAAGAACGCUUUGAAUACCGUUAUGCUUUAAAGCUUUUAAAAACAGCAUUAAAUAUGAACCAGAAAUAGGCUGGUAAAAUUUAUACUUUCUCUGAGAGAUUUUUGACACUUUCAAUGCUUGUGAAAGCUGAGGGGUUGACGGCGCUAGUCAAAUACAGUUGAGUGAGCAGACUGCCAGCAUCCCACAUUCCACCUCCAGUGCAGUUCAACCGUGACAUAGAGGGACCAGCCUUCUCUCUCUCUCUCUCUCUCUCUCUCUCUCUCUCUCUCUCUUAUGCACACGUGCGCGCGCACACACAGAGACGGUUUCAGAUAUUUUAUUUGCUAAUCUUUCUUCACAGCUAAGAAAAGCGCAGUUCUUCUGUUCAGUUCAUGUCACUGGUUAAAUCACAAGAUAGCUGCAGAUCACAAGAUAGCUAUAAUUAGAAUCAUAGAAUCUUAGAGCUGGAAGGGACCCAAGGGUCAUCUAGUCCAACCCCCUGCAAUGCAGGAAUCUCAGCUAAUUCAUAUUCAUAGAUAUGUUAUCAUGCCGUAAUUCACAUUGUUUUUGUUUCUCCCCUCACAAUUUUUUUAUUUCUUAAGUUAAUAUUCUGUGUAAAAUUAGAAGCUACCAAAAGUGACCAAAGAUCACUGUUGUUGUUGAAUCUGGACUUGGGAGCCCAGGGUUCAAGUCAUUUCUCAACCAUGAAGGUCACCAGUCAACCUUGGACAAGGCAUUGCUAUGAGGAUCAAUGUAGACUACACUGUAUACUGUGAAAGGUGCUGUAGAAAUGCUAAUUUUUAAAAGGUCAUUCUUGCUCAAAUAGACCUUGGCAUCUUGAGAUAAUAAAGUUGUUUAGCUGUAAUUGUUCUCCUGGAAAGCAGUAUAUGCAUGGUGAUAGGAUACCCUCCUUUGCAGAAGUGGGAGAUGAAUGUCACCUCUUUUCCUCCGACUUAUAUGGACUGACAUCCAGUGUCAAAAAACAACACAAUAACCUGGUUCCCAAAUUUGUAUUUGGGAGUGGAUGGGCGGAGAAUCUGCUGGAGAGAAUUUGAUGGGUAGUGCUUAACUUUUCCCAAUUACUGUCCACAGAACUCUGCACACACUACUACUACUACUAUUACUAGUAGUAAUGAUAAUUUUAUUAUAAUUUCUACCCCGCCCAUCUGACUGGGUUUCCCCAAACACACGCACACACAUUUUUCUUCCCCAUGAGGCUAAUUUCUAAACUUCAGUAAAGAGAAACAGCUGAAAAAUAGCUGAGUGGGAGAAGGCAUGGAAAGGGCUAAGCAUUUCCUUCUGCCUGCCAAUUAGACUAUGCAUAUGCCUGCCCUCAUAUUAAUUAAUAUUAUUGAGUGUGGUUUUUUAAAAAUCCCAUACCUUCAGUGGCACACUAAGACUUCCCAGGGCGGUUACACAUACAAUUAAAAUACUACAAUAUAAACAUCCCAGUCUAAAACUAUACAAACACAGCAAUAUCACCAUACUAUUAAGUAAAGGGUUUGGAAAGCCACGUUUGCCUCGUAACUCGUAGUUCCGCUCUCAUAUCCUGAAUACAGGUAACUCGCAUCCUACGUAGAGGUUACAUCCAUGGCUAUCGCAUGUAUAAGCAAAAUUGUGUAAAGCCAGAAUACCCCCUAGAAAACCAUUAAGACCUAGAAAAAUCAUAAUAAAUGAAUGAAUGAAUGAAUGCUGCACUUACCAGUGAGAGGCAAAUGUGGCUCUCAGUCUUCCUUUUCCUCUCCCUUGCUGGAUGCUGCUGCAUAUGAUAUGAGGGCCGGGGGGCUGCCUGGUAGCCAGAAGAAGUAUUGGGGUGUGGUUCAGAUCCAGAGGUGGGUUUCCCAUGCACAUCUGCUGCUGGUGGUGGUUUAUUUGUGAGGAAUUGCUGUUGUCUCUUGAGCUCAUCAAGCAUGUUGUUGUAUGGUCUCAAAGUGUCUGUAAUUCCAUGAUUGAUCUUGAGGCUACAUUCCAUGGAGGGGCAAAACUUUGCAAACAAAAAAUUUGCAUGCUUUAUUACUUGGAAGAAUUGAGAAAAUUCCUGCAGGUUCCAGCUUGCUGGCUCAUGCUUACCAUCCUCAUCCUCAUUCUGAGCUUGAUCUGACCAGUUCUUCUAGCUCUUCAACCGUCAACACCUGUUGGUCCUCAAUUACAUCUUCUACUUCUUCCUGGAUGAGGUCAACAAAGCCAUCACUACCCACUUGAGUGGUCCUCUGCACAAUGUCCUUCACCUCACUGACAAUGUUUGGAAAUCCCUUGAAAUCAUGCACACAUUCUUUCCCCAAGUUCCAUCAACAGGCAUUCACUGUUUCAGGUGUGAUUGCACCCACUUCCUGAUUGAGGCAGGUGCUGCAAUGGGCAAUGCUGAAAGACUUCCAGCAUGUUGUGAGGUCAAGAUCUGGAUCAGCAUCCAUCAGGUUCAUCAUCCAGGAAAAGGUGAGCUUUGUGUAAGCAGCCUUGAAGCAGUGAUUCACACCUUGAUCCAGAGGCUGCCAUUUUGCAGUCUGAAGCUUGGUAAACCACCUCUCUCGAAACUCCUCGGUAAGUCUCUCUGGCCUCUUCUGAUCACCCUUUCCAAAAGCUUCUUCCACACCCAAACACUCUCACAAUGGCUGCUGGCCAUUCUUUCCUGCUCUUCCGACCCCCUUUCACCCCACAAGUGCCAUUUUCACACAAUUUUAUUAUUCUUUUUCCCUACUGCAUGCCAUUUCUGCAACAUUUUAAAAAUUAUUUUUUGGCAAUGCACGUAAAGCUGCGAGUGUGUAUGUUAAAUAAGCGUAAGAUGCGAACUACCUGUACAGAGCAAGUUGUUUCUCCCCAAAAUGCAUUUCCACUACCUUCAAGCAAACAAUGUAAUCACUUUUAAGUGUGAUUGAGUAGCAUUGCUCAAAGAAGAAGAAGAAGAAGAAGAAGAAGAAGAAGAAGAAGAAGAGCAAGCCAGCUAUAAUUAAACCCUUUUAAGUCCCAUUGGUUUGAGUGAAAAAUGCUAAAACCCAUUCUUAAAUAUCUAAUCAAGUGUGCCCAUAGCUAGUAGCAUGGGAAGCUACCUUAUACCAAGUCAGACCAUUCGUCUAUCUGGCUUACCAUUAUUUGUUCAACUGGCAGCGGUUUUCCAGGAUUUCAGAUAUGAGCCUUACUGAGCCCCAGUGAUUUUUUUCUGGGGUUACACAGGGGUACACAUACCCCUAAACGUUUUGUGAAUCUAAGUCUGGCCUCAAUGAGGGGCGGUAUUUCAAUAUGAGUAGGAAAAUGAGAGUACUCUUAAAUAUUUUUUUAUGG